AUAAAGUAUAGAUGUGUUUUUUCGUGUUUAAUGUUUGGCCAUUUAUCUUAUUUGAAAUGUUUUCAUGAUUAGUUUUUUUAUUAGAUGAUAAAACAUGGAUAAUACUUUAUACGUGACUUAAUUUUUUUAAAAAAAAUCAUAAAUUUCAAAAUAAAACAGACGGUUAAAUGUUAGAUACGGAAAUCCACAAACUACACCUAAA
This is a non-coding RNA of Oryza barthii, 202 nucleotides long. The record is from Rfam. Lineage: Eukaryota; Viridiplantae; Streptophyta; Magnoliopsida; Poales; Poaceae.